RNAcentral lists this non-coding RNA (23 nucleotides) under Cricetulus griseus (Chinese hamster). Lineage: Eukaryota; Metazoa; Chordata; Mammalia; Rodentia; Cricetidae. The record is from RNAcentral.
UGCAGUCUGUGGUUCUGAGACUU